RNAcentral lists this ribosomal RNA (468 nucleotides) under uncultured bacterium. Its description in RNAcentral is "partial 16S ribosomal RNA". It matches the Rfam family "Bacterial small subunit ribosomal RNA", at positions 28 to 507 of the family's 1533-position model. The record is from RNAcentral.
GACGAACGCUGGCGGCGUGCUUAACACAUGCAAGUCGAACGGAAAGGCCCUGCUUUUGUGGGGUGCUCGAGUGGCGAACAGGUGAGUAACACGUGAGUAACCUGCCCUUGACUUUGGGAUAACUUCAGGAAACUGGGGCUAAUACCGGAUAGGAGCUCCUGCUGCAUGGUGGGGGUUGGAAAGUUUCGGCGGUUGGGGAUGGACUCGCGGCUUAUCAGCUUGUUGGUGGGGUAGUGGCUUACCAAGGCUUUGACGGGUAGCCGGCCUGAGAGGGUGACCGGCCACAUUGGGACUGAGAUACGGCCCAGACUCCUACGGGAGGCAGCAGUGGGGAAUAUUGCACAAUGGGCGGAAGCCUGAUGCAGCAACGCCGCGUGUGGGAUGACGGCCUUCGGGUUGUAAACCGCUUUCGCCUGUGACGAAGCGUGAGUGACGGUAAUGGGUAAAGAAGCACCGGCUAACUACGUG